GGGAUGGCGGCAUGCUUUAACAUGCAGUCGAACGGCAGCGGGGGCUUCGGCCUGCCGGCGAGUGGCGAACGGGUGAGUAAUGCAUCGGAACGUACCCAGUCGUGGGGGAUAACACAUCGAAAGAUGUGCUAAUACCGCAUACGUCCUGAGGGAGAAAGCGGGGGCUCGCAAGACCUCGCGCGAUUGGAGCGGCCGAUGUCGGGUUAGCUAGUUGGUGGGGUAAAGGCCUACCAAGGCGACGAUCCGUAGCGGGUCUGAGAGGAUGAUCCGCCACACUGGGACUGAGACACGGCCCAGACUCCUACGGGAGGCGGCAGUGGGGAAUUUUGGACAAUGGGCGCAAGCCUGAUCCAGCCAUGCCGCGUGAGUGAAGAAGGCCUUCGGGUUGUAAAGCUCUUUCGGACGGGAAGAAAUCGUGGUGGCUAAUACCUGCCAUGGAUGACGGUACCGUAAGAAGAAGCACCGGCUAACUACGUGCCAGCAGCCGCGGUAAUACGUAGGGUGCGAGCGUUAAUCGGAAUUACUGGGCGUAAAGCGUGCGCAGGCGGUUUUGUAAGACAGCUGUGAAAUCCCCGGGCUUAACCUGGGAACUGCGGUUGUGACUGCAAGGCUAGAGUAUGGCAGAGGGGGGUGGAAUUCCACGUGUAGCAGUGAAAUGCGUAGAGAUGUGGAGGAACACCGAUGGCGAAGGCAGCCCCCUGGGCCAAUACUGACGCUCAUGCACGAAAGCGUGGGGAGCAAACAGGAUUAGAUACCCUGGUAGUCCACGCCCUAAACGAUGUCGACUAGUUGUUCGGAGAGGAGACUCUCUGAGUAACGCAGCUAACGCGUGAAGUCGACCGCCUGGGGAGUACGGUCGCAAGAUUAAAACUCAAAGGAAUUGACGGGGACCCGCACAGCGGUGGAUGAUGUGGAUUAUUCGAUGCAGCGCGAAAGACCUUACCUACCCUUGACAUGUCCAGACCCCGAGAGAUCGGGGGUGCUUCGGGAGCUGGAACACAGGUGCUGCAUGGCUGUCGUCAGCUCGUGUC
This 1031-nucleotide ribosomal RNA is filed under the name uncultured bacterium. Its description in RNAcentral is "bacterial SSU rRNA". It matches the Rfam family "Bacterial small subunit ribosomal RNA", at positions 33 to 1066 of the family's 1533-position model. The record is from RNAcentral.